AGAGUUUGAUCCUGGCUCAGGAUAAACGCUGGUGGCGCACAUAAGACAUGCAAGUCGAACGGACCAAGCCAAAUAGUUUACUUUUUGGUAAGGUAGUGGCGGACUGGUGAGUAACACGUAAGCAACCUACCUAACAGAGGGGGACAACAGUUAGAAAUGACUGCUAAUACCGCAUAUGCAUGAGUAUCGCAUGAUACAAAUGGGAAAGGAGAAAUCCGCUGAUAGAUGGGCUUGCGACUGAUUAGCUAGUUGGUGGGGUAGAGGCCUACCAAGGCGACGAUCAGUAGCCGGACUGAGAGGUUGAACGGCCACAUUGGGACUGAGAUACGGCCCAGACUCCUACGGGAGGCAGCAGUCGGGAAUAUUGCGCAAUGGAGGGAACUCUGACGCAGUGACGCCGCGUGCAGGAAGAAGGUUUUCGGAUUGUAAACUGCUUUAGACAGGGAAGAAACAAGACAGUACCUGUAGAAUAAGCUCCGGCUAACUACGUGCCAGCAGCCGCGGUAAUACGUAGGGAGCGAGCGUUAUCCGGAUUUAUUGGGUGUAAAGGGUGCGUAGACGGAGAAGCAAGUUGGUUGUGAAAUCCCUCGGCUCAACUGAGGAACUGCAACCAAAACUACUACCCUUGAGUGCUGGAGAGGAAAGUGGAAUUCCUAGUGUAGCGGUGAAAUGCGUAGAUAUUAGGAGGAACACCAGUGGCGAAGGCGACUUUCUGGACAGUAACUGACGUUGAGGCACGAAAGCGUGGGGAGCAAACAGGAUUAGAUACCCUGGUAGUCCACGCCGUAAACGAUGGAUAC
This 800-nucleotide ribosomal RNA is filed under the name uncultured bacterium. RNAcentral describes it as "bacterial SSU rRNA". It matches the Rfam family "Bacterial small subunit ribosomal RNA", at positions 8 to 816 of the family's 1533-position model. The record is from RNAcentral.